AUCUUCCGCAAUGGGGGCAACCCUGACGGAGCAACGCCGCGUGGGGGAUGACGCCCUUCGGGGUGUAAACCCCUUUUCUGCGGGAAGAAGGUGGGGCAACCCACGUGACGGUACCGCAGGAAGAAGGACCGGCUAACUACGUGCCAGCAGCCGCGGUAAUACGUAGGGUCCGAGCGUUGUCCGGAGUUACUGGGCGUAAAGCGCGCGCAGGCGGCGGUGCUGGCCCGGCGUGAAAGCCCCCGGCUCAACCGGGAAGGGUCGUCGGGGACCGCACCGCUUGAGGGCGGUAGGGGCUGGUGGAAUGCCUGGUGUAGUGGUGAAAUGCGUAGAGAUCAGGCGGAACACCCGUGGCGAAGGCGGCCAGCUGGGCCGUCCCUGACGCUGAGGCGCGAAGGCGUGGGGAGCGAAC
Molecule: ribosomal RNA, 409 nt
Filed under: uncultured bacterium
Lineage: Bacteria
Description: bacterial SSU rRNA
Rfam family: Bacterial small subunit ribosomal RNA
Source: RNAcentral